This 564-nucleotide ribosomal RNA is filed under the name Salmonella enterica subsp. enterica serovar Saintpaul. RNAcentral's name for it is "bacterial LSU rRNA". It matches the Rfam family "Bacterial large subunit ribosomal RNA", at positions 646 to 1211 of the family's 2925-position model. Lineage: Bacteria; Pseudomonadati; Pseudomonadota; Gammaproteobacteria; Enterobacterales; Enterobacteriaceae. RNAcentral also lists the same sequence under 2 other names. The record is from RNAcentral.
UUAACCGUAUAGGGGAGCCGGAGGGAAACCGAGUCUUAAUUGGGCGUUAAGUUGCAGGGUAUAGACCCGAAACCCGGUGAUCUAGCCAUGGGCAGGUUGAAGGUUGGGUAACACUAACUGGAGGACCGAACCGACUAAUGUUGAAAAAUUAGCGGAUGACCUGUGGCUGGGGGUGAAAGGCCAAUCAAACCGGGAGAUAGCUGGUUCUCCCCGAAAGCUAUUUAGGUAGCGCCUCGUGAAUUCAUCUCCGGGGGUAGAGCACUGUUUCGGCUAGGGGGCCAUCCCGGCUUACCAACCCGAUGCAAACUGCGAAUACCGGAGAAUGUUAUCACGGGAGACACACGGCGGGUGCUAACGUCCGUCGUGAAGAGGGAAACAACCCAGACCGCCAGCUAAGGUCCCAAAGUCAUGGUUAAGUGGGAAACGAUGUGGGAAGGCCCAGACAGCCAGGAUGUUGGCUUAGAAGCAGCCAUCAUUUAAAGAAAGCGUAAUAGCUCACUGGUCGAGUCGGCCUGCGCGGAAGAUGUAACGGGGCUAAACCAUGCACCGAAGCUGCGGCAGCGA